AUACUUACCUGGCAGGGGAGACAUCAUGAUCAUGAAGGUGGUUUUCCCAGGAUGAGGCUCAUCCAUUGCACUCCAGCUGUACUGACCCCUGCAAUUUCCCCUAUGGCGGGAAAUGUGACUGCAUAUUUUUUCUUGAAAAGGUGUCUCUUUGUCCACUUUC
Small nuclear RNA from Sceloporus undulatus (fence lizard), 160 nucleotides. RefSeq annotates it as U1 spliceosomal RNA. The record is from RefSeq and is a predicted model, not a curated record. The transcript has a single exon. NCBI's taxonomy places the organism in Eukaryota, Metazoa, Chordata, Lepidosauria, Squamata, Phrynosomatidae.